Molecule: non-coding RNA, 240 nt
Organism: Vicia faba (fava bean)
Lineage: Eukaryota; Viridiplantae; Streptophyta; Magnoliopsida; Fabales; Fabaceae
Source: the annotation of a GenBank genome assembly
AUGUUUCCAGAAUCUAAUCAUGGCUUAUCAUUUCCAAAACUAGAAGUUCUUGCUAUUGAUGGAUGUCCCCUAUUAGAGGCCAUAAGUCCUUUUCUCUUUGCUCAAGAACUUCCAGUACUAAAAACUGUUAAUCCUACAAUUCUGUUACAUUGUGUGAUUAUGAUGAAUAAUACGAUUUCACCAUUUCAAGACCUUAUGCCACCUCUUCAUCAACUUCAUGCUUUGUCUAUAAGUCACUAA